AAGCCUGCGCUUGAAGAUCUUUAU
Molecule: non-coding RNA, 24 nt
Filed under: Arabidopsis thaliana (thale cress)
Lineage: Eukaryota; Viridiplantae; Streptophyta; Magnoliopsida; Brassicales; Brassicaceae
Source: RNAcentral